GCUUGUUGGUGGGGUAAUGGCCUACCAAGGCGACGACGGGUAGCCGGCCUGAGAGGGUGACCGGCCACAUUGGGACUGAGAUACGGCCCAGACUCCUACGGGAGGCAGCAGUGGGGAAUCUUAGACAAUGGGCGCAAGCCUGAUCCAGCCAUGCCGCGUGAGUGAUGAAGGUCUUAGGAUCGUAAAGCUCUUUCGCCAGGGAUGAUAAUGACAGUACCUGGUAAAGAAACCCCGGCUAACUCCGUGCCAGCAGCCGCGGUAAUACGGAGGGGGUUAGCGUUGUUCGGAAUUACUGGGCGUAAAGCGCGCGUAGGCGGCAAGUUAAGUUGGGUGUGAAAGCCCCGGGCUCAACCUGGGAACUGCAUUCAAAACUGGCUAGCUAGAGUACAGCAGAGGAUAGUGGAAUUUCCGGUGUAGCGGUGAAAUGCGUAGAGAUCGGAAGGAACACCAGUGGCGAAGGCGACUGUCUGGGCUGAUACUGACGCUGAGGUGCGAAAGCGUGGGGAGCAAACAGGAUUAG
Molecule: ribosomal RNA, 520 nt
Filed under: Kryptoperidinium foliaceum
Lineage: Eukaryota; Dinophyceae; Peridiniales; Kryptoperidiniaceae
Description: partial Bacterial small subunit ribosomal RNA
Rfam family: Bacterial small subunit ribosomal RNA
Source: RNAcentral